AUGCCCGUCCAGCCCAUGAAGACCAUCGCCGCCGUCGCCCUCUCCGACGCCUCCUUCGGGGUCCCCGAGAUGAUGGCCGCCGGCAUCCUCACCUCGGCGUUCGUAUUCGUCCUCGGGGUCACCCGCCUCAUGAAGCUCGUCUACUGGUUCGUGCCGCUGCCCGUCGUCCGCGGCAUCCAGCUCGCACAGGGGCUCAACUUCGCCAUGGCCGCCGUCAAGUACAUCCGCUACGAGCAGGACCUCGGGAAGAGCAAGUCCCUCGGCCGGCGCCCCUGGGCCGGCCUCGACGGCCUUGUCCUCGCCAUCGUGGCCAUCUUCUUCGUCGUCCUCGUCAACGGCGCCGGCGACGAUCACAGCACAGCCGUCCAGGAAGAAGAAAGGGGAGGAGAUCAGGAGGAGGAUAAUAGCGGCCGCUCUUCCCGCUUGCGUAAAUUGAGGCGGCGCCUGCGGUCGGCGACGAUCCCGUCGGCGGUGAUCCUGUUCGUGCUGGGCGUGGUCCUCGGCAUCAUCCAGCACCCGGCGGCGCUGAGGGAGCUGCGCGCGGGUCCGUCGCGGAUGCGCGUGGUGCGCAUACCGAGGGAGGCUUGGAAGCAGGGGCUGAUCAAGGGCGCGAUCCCGCAGAUCCCGCUCUCGGUGCUCAACUCGGUGGUGGCGGUGUGCAAGCUGACGCGCGACCUGUUCCCGGAGAAGAAAGAGGCGUCGGCGACGUCGGUGUCGGUGACCAUGGGCGCCAUGAACCUGGUGGGUUGCUGGUUCGGCGCCAUGCCGUGCUGCCACGGCGCGGGCGGGCUGGCCGGGCAGUACAAGUUCGGAGGGCGCAGCGGCGCGUGCGUGGCGGCGCUGGGUGGGCUGAAGCUGGCGCUGAGGCUGGCGCUCGGCGGCUCCGUGCUGCGCGUGCUCGCCGCGUUCCCUGUGGGGCUGCUGGGCGUGCUGCUGCUGUUCGCCGGCGUCGAGCUGGCCAUCGCGGCGAGGGACAUGUCGUCCAAGGCGGAGGCGUUCGUCAUGCUCGUCUGCACCGCCGUGUCGCUCGUCGGCUCCAGCGCCGCGCUGGGGUUCCUCUGCGGCAUGGUCGCGCAUGGCCUGCUGCUGCUCAGGGCACUCGCAGUUUCCAUAUGA
This 1116-nucleotide ribosomal RNA is filed under the name Triticum aestivum (bread wheat). Its description in RNAcentral is "partial small subunit ribosomal RNA". Lineage: Eukaryota; Viridiplantae; Streptophyta; Magnoliopsida; Poales; Poaceae. The record is from RNAcentral.